This 444-nucleotide ribosomal RNA is filed under the name uncultured bacterium. RNAcentral describes it as "SSU rRNA". It matches the Rfam family "Bacterial small subunit ribosomal RNA", at positions 26 to 518 of the family's 1533-position model. The record is from RNAcentral.
AGAACGAACGCUGGCGGCAGGCUUAACACAUGCAAGUCGAACGCCCCGCAAGGGGAGUGGCAGACGGGUGAGUAACGCGUGGGAAUCUACCCAGAACUUCGGAACAACUGAGGGAAACUUCAGCUAAUACCGGAUACGCCCUACGGGGGAAAGAUUUAUCGGUUCUGGAUGAGCCCGCGUUGGAUUAGCUAGUUGGUGGGGUAAUGGCCUACCAAGGCGACGAUCCAUAGCUGGUCUGAGAGGAUGAUCAGCCACACUGGGACUGAGACACGGCCCAGACUCCUACGGGAGGCAGCAGUGGGGAAUAUUGGACAAUGGGCGAAAGCCUGAUCCAGCCAUGCCGCGUGAGUGAUGAAGGCCUUAGGGUUGUAAAGCUCUUUCAGUAGGGAAGAUAAUGACGGUACCUACAGAAGAAGCCCCGGCUAACUUCGCGCCAGCAGCCGC